Molecule: ribosomal RNA, 559 nt
Filed under: uncultured bacterium
Lineage: Bacteria
Description: bacterial LSU rRNA
Rfam family: Bacterial large subunit ribosomal RNA
Source: RNAcentral
CGAGCCUGCGAAAAGCUCCGGGGAGCUGGCAACGAAGCUUUGAUCCGGAGAUGUCCGAAUGGGGAAACCCACCCUUCGGGGUAUCCUGGCCUGAAUACAUAGGGCCAGAGAAGCGAACCGGGUGAACUGAAACAUCUCAGUAGCUCGAGGAAAAGAAAUCAACCGAGAUUCCCAAAGUAGUGGCGAGCGAAAUGGGACAAGCCUGCACGAUUUAGCAGAACGGUUAAGAGAACGGAUUGGAAACUCCGGCCAUAGAGGGUGAUAGCCCCGUAUUUGAAAACCGAUUUGUGGAACUAGGCGUGCGACAAGUAGGGCGGGACACGUGUAAUCCUGUCUGAAGAUGGGGGGACCAUCCUCCAAGGCUAAAUACUCGUGAUCGACCGAUAGUGAACCAGUACCGUGAGGGAAAGGCGAAAAGAACCCCGGGAGGGGAGUGAAAUAGAUCCUGAAACCGCAUGCAUACAAACAGUGGGAGCCUCGCAAGGGGUGACUGCGUACCUUUUGUAUAAUGGGGUCAGCGACUUACGUUCAGUUGCGAGCUUAACCGAAUAGGGGAGGC